RNAcentral lists this ribosomal RNA (301 nucleotides) under uncultured bacterium. RNAcentral describes it as "partial 16S ribosomal RNA". It matches the Rfam family "Bacterial small subunit ribosomal RNA", at positions 509 to 807 of the family's 1533-position model. The record is from RNAcentral.
CAGUCGCCACGGUAAUACAGAGGGUGCGAGCGUUAAUCGGAUUUACUGGGCGUAAAGCGUGCGUAGGCGGCUUUUUAAGUCGGAUGUGAAAUCCCUGAGCUUAACUUAGGAAUUGCAUUCGAUACUGGGAAGCUAGAGUAUGGGAGAGGUUGGUAGAAUUCCAGGUGUAGCGGUGAAAUGCGUAGAGAUCUGGAGGAAUACCGAUGGCGAAGGCAGCCAUCUGGCCUAAUACUGACGCUGAGGUACGAAAGCAUGGGGAGCAAACAGGAUUAGAUACCCCCGUAGUCCCUGUCUCUUAUAC